RNAcentral lists this ribosomal RNA (301 nucleotides) under uncultured bacterium. Its description in RNAcentral is "partial 16S ribosomal RNA". It matches the Rfam family "Bacterial small subunit ribosomal RNA", at positions 509 to 807 of the family's 1533-position model. The record is from RNAcentral.
CAGUCGCCACGGUAAUACAGAGGCCUCAAGCGUUGUUCGGAUUCAUUGGGCGUAAAGGGUGCGUAGGCGGUCGGGUAAGUCGGAUGUGAAAUCCUGGGGCUCAACCUCAGAACUGCAUUCGAUACUGCUUGGCUAGAGGACUGGAGAGGAGAUCGGAAUUCACGGUGUAGCAGUGAAAUGCGUAGGUAUCGUGAGGAAGACCAGUGGCGAAGGCGGAUCUCUGGACAGUUCCUGACGCUGAUGCACGAAGGCCAGGGGAGCAAACGGGAUUAGAUACCCGUGUAGUCCCUGUCUCUUAUAC